AAAGAAUAUUUUGCCCUUAUAACAUUAUUAAUUAUAUACUUUCAAGUGAGAGCAAUAUGACUAAUUAUGCUUAAUUAUUUUUGAAAAUGAUGCUUUAACAAUUUGUAAUGCAGACAUUUGAUGGUCUGGUUCUAUGUUGAGUUCAUGUUGAUACUUGGUCUUAAGGACAGUUAGAGCUGAUAAAAAUAACUUGUGCAUAGACCAGGCGCGGUGGCUCACGCCUGUAAUACCAGCACUUUGGGAGUCUGAGGCGGGCGGAUCACGAGAUCAGGAGAUGGAGACCAUCCUGGCUAACACGGUGAAGCCCCGUCUCUAUUAAAAAUACAAAAAAAAUUAGCCAGGUGCGGUGGCAGGCACCUGUAGUCCCAGCUACUUGGAAGGCUGAGGCAGGAGAAUGGUGUGAACCUUGCAGUGAGCCGAGAUCACGCCACUGCACUACAGCCUGGGCAACAGAGCGAAACCCCGUCUCAAAAAAAAAAAAAAAGAAAGAAAAAAAAAAGAAAUAACUUCUGCACACAUCAUAACAUUCAUACAUAAUGAAUCAUUGAUAUACUCAUUAAAAUGUGACUCAUCCAGGAAAAUCCCAUCCCUAAAUUAUUUAAAGUUUUUGUUUUCCCUCAGCUACUAUUUCUGUUCUACCUUAUGCAAACUAAUGAGAAACCAUUGUCCCAAGACUGGUGGCCUCCUGGCAUGGUUGUGCAACAGCUGUUGUCAAACUCCAGAGUCUAAAGUGCACCACGAAAGCCAGAUGGCAGGCCAGAUCCAGCCUCCCUGCUAAAUGAAAUGUUCACUGGCCAGGGAGAAACAACCACGUGGAAAAUUAAAUAAACCCAUGACAUUUGUAGCCAGCAGCUCGGGUGUUUUGUAGGGUUUUCCCUGAGAAGUGGGGACUAAUCGCAUGAAUCACUUUUUUUUUCUUUUUAGAGUCUUAUCUAUUUGUGAAUAAAUGUUUCCAAUUAAAGCAUUGCUACUAAGCCUCAGUUUUCUCACCUCUACCAUGGAGUUAAAAUGUCUACUUCACACUGUCCAUAAAAGAAUUAAGGUGAGCCACCACACCCGGCCCAUCCCACCGCCUUGCUGUGGCAGGGAGAGCAAUAGCCUCUCUUCAUCUCUUUAUAAGGGCACCAAUCCCAUUAUGCCCCCAUGACUUUAUCCAAACCUCAUUAUAGCCCAGGCCCCACCUCCAAAGACUAUCACAUUGGGAAUUAGAGAGCUUCAACAUACAGUUUGAGGGGACUACAAACAUUCCAUUCAUGGCAACUAGGAAUUUAUAGAAACACUCCCUCUAGUGUGCAAAAAAGUAAGUACAAGAAUUUUUGGGGUUUUUUUGUUUUUUGUUUUGUUUUGUUUUGUUUUGUUUUCUGAGACAGGGUCU
This 1375-nucleotide long non-coding RNA is filed under the name Homo sapiens (human). RNAcentral's name for it is "HSALNT0103954". The record is from RNAcentral. Lineage: Eukaryota; Metazoa; Chordata; Mammalia; Primates; Hominidae.